CUGAUGUGGACCGAACCAAAGUAGGGAAGCAUGUGAGCCAUGUGCCAAGAAAAGCCGCUAUUGUGAUACACAUACCCGUACCGUAAACCGACACAGGUGGAUGAGGAGAGAAUCCUAAGGCCGACGGAAGAAGCAUUGUUAAGGAACUCGGCAAAAUGACCCCGUAACUUCGGGAGAAGGGGUGCCCUGUGAAAGCAGGGCCGCAGAGAAUAGGCUCAAGCAACUGUUUAGCAAAAACACAGGUCUAUGCGAAACCGAAAGGUGAGGUAUAUGGGCUGACGCCUGCCCGGUGCUGGAAGGUUAAGAGGAGAAGUCAGGCAACGAAGCUUCGAAUUUAAGCCCCAGUAAACGGCGGCCGUAACAAUAACGGUCCUAAGGUAGCGAAAUUCCUUGUCGGGUAAGUUCCGACCCGCACGAAAGGCGUAAUGAUUUGAGCACUGUCUCGACAAUGCAUCCGGUAAAAUUGAAGUACCAGUGAAGAUGCUGGUUACCUGCGCCAGGACGGAAAGACCCCAUGGAGCUUUACUCCAGCUUGAUACUGGGAUUCGAUACUGUAUGUACAGGAUAGGUGGGAGACGUUGAACAUAGAACGCCAGUUUUAUGUGAGUCGCUGUUGGGAUACCACCCUUGCAGUAUUGGAUUUCUAACCUGCACCCAUGACCUGGGUGGGGGACAAUGUCUGGCGGGGAGUUUGACUGGGGCGGUCGCCUCCGAAAGGGUAUCGGAGGCGCUCAAAGGUUCCCUCAGAAUGGUUGGAAACCAUUCGAAGAGUGCAAAGGCAGAAGGGAGCUUGACUGUGACACCGACGGGUGGAACAGGUACGAAAGUAGGACUUAGUGAUCCGGUGGUAUAAAGUGGGAUUGCCAUCGCUCAACGGAUAAAAGCUACCCUGGGAUAACAGGCUUAUCACUCCCAAGAGUUCACAUCGACGGAGUGGUUUGGCACCUCGAUGUCGGCUCAUCGCAUCCUGGGGCUGUAGCAGGUCCCAAGGGUUGGGCUGUUCGCCCAUUAAAGCGGUACGCGAGCUGGGUUCAGAACGUCGUGAGACAGUUCGGUCCCUAUCCGGCGCAGGCGGAGGAUAUUUGAGAGGAGCUGUCCUUAGUACGAGAGGACCGGGAUGGACGGACCACUGGUGUAUCUGUUGGCUAUCGGAGCCAUGGCAGAGUAGCCAAGUCCGGCAGGGAUAAACGCUGAAGGCAUCUAAGCGUGAAGCCCCCCUCAAGAUGAGAUAUCCCUCAGAAAUGAGUAAGACCCCUUGAAGACUACGAGGUAGAUAGGAAUGAGGUGUAAGCACAGCAAUGUGUUCAGCUGACAUUUACUAAUCGGUCGAGGGCUUGAUCA
This 1341-nucleotide ribosomal RNA is filed under the name metagenome. RNAcentral describes it as "bacterial LSU rRNA". It matches the Rfam family "Bacterial large subunit ribosomal RNA", at positions 1563 to 2925 of the family's 2925-position model. The record is from RNAcentral.